AUGAAGAACGCAGCGAAAUGCGAUAAGUAAUGUGAAUUGCAGAAUUCAGUGAAUCAUCGAAUCUUUGAACGCACAUUGCGCUCGCCAGUAUUCUGGCGAGCAUGCCUGUUCGAGCGUCA
Molecule: ribosomal RNA, 119 nt
Filed under: Neurospora tetrasperma FGSC 2509
Lineage: Eukaryota; Fungi; Ascomycota; Sordariomycetes; Sordariales; Sordariaceae
Description: 5.8S ribosomal RNA
Rfam family: 5.8S ribosomal RNA
About the family: 5.8S ribosomal RNA (5.8S rRNA) is a component of the large subunit of the eukaryotic ribosome. It is transcribed by RNA polymerase I as part of the 45S precursor that also contains 18S and 28S rRNA.
Source: Rfam by way of RNAcentral